AGAGUUUGAUCAUGGCUCAGAGCGAACGCUGGCGGCAGGCUUAACACAUGCAAGUCGAGCGGGCGUAGCAAUACGUCAGCGGCAGACGGGUGAGUAACGCGUGGGAACGUACCUUUUGGUUCGGAACAACACAGGGAAACUUGUGCUAAUACCGGAUAAGCCCUUACGGGGAAAGAUUUAUCGCCGAAAGAUCGGCCCGCGUCUGAUUAGCUAGUUGGUGAGGUAACGGCUCACCAAGGCGACGAUCAGUAGCUGGUCUGAGAGGAUGAUCAGCCACAUUGGGACUGAGACACGGCCCAAACUCCUACGGGAGGCAGCAGUGGGGAAUAUUGGACAAUGGGCGCAAGCCUGAUCCAGCCAUGCCGCGUGAGUGAUGAAGGCCCUAGGGUUGUAAAGCUCUUUUGUGCGGGAAGAUAAUGACGGUACCGCAAGAAUAAGCCCCGGUUAACUUCGUGCCAGCAGCCGCGGUAAUACGAAGGGGGCUAGCGUUGCUCGGAAUCACUGGGCGUAAAGGGUGCGUAGGCGGGUCUUUAAGUCAGGGGGUGAAAUCCUGGAGCUCAACUCCAGAACUGCCUUUGAUACUGAGGAUCUUGAGUUCGGGAGAGGUGAGUGGAACUGCGAGUGUAGAGGUGAAAUUCGUAGAUAUUCGCAAGAACACCAGUGGCGAAGGCGGCUCACUGGCCCGAUACUGACGCUGAGGCACGAAAGCGUGGGGAGCAAACAGGAUUAGAUACCCUAGUAGUCC
Molecule: ribosomal RNA, 745 nt
Filed under: uncultured bacterium
Lineage: Bacteria
Description: bacterial SSU rRNA
Rfam family: Bacterial small subunit ribosomal RNA
Source: RNAcentral